Long non-coding RNA from Pseudophryne corroboree (corroboree frog), 1469 nucleotides. RefSeq lists it as uncharacterized. The record is from RefSeq and is a predicted model, not a curated record. The transcript has 4 exons. Lineage: Eukaryota; Metazoa; Chordata; Amphibia; Anura; Myobatrachidae.
AGGCUGCGCCAGCAGUAUGCCCACACCGGAGCCAGAGAACGCGGCGGCGGGCGGCGCUUCCUUCACGGCGGGCUUCUUCUUAAGUAUAUAGUGUUUCUCCACCUGGGAUACUGGUACCCACAAGGAUGCUCGCCGUGAUGCUUCUGUGAUGGUGGGGCAGAACCUCCAGGUGGUGAUUGGAUACAUAGGGAAAGCAGUAUCCAAGGGAACUCUAGCCCCAUACAUCAUAGGAGGACCCUGAUAACAGAAUGAAAAUAUCUAUCCCUCUAUCUAUGUAAAAGCAGCAUAAGGCGAUGACUGAUGGAGUGGAUCAGCUGACCGAUGCAGAACUUGUGGUUGUAGGAACUGCAGUCAACUGACCGCAAGUAACAUGGCGCCAAGGAACCAGAGAUUGCGGGUUGGACUGCAGGGUACACACUGCAGGAAUUGGGGUGCACUGUGGACAGCAGCGGGCACCACAGAAGCAGCAGUGGAGUUGCCCACAGGACUUCUGAAGGCUAGCGCACCAGUGUGCUGAUACGGGCAAAAUGACCGAUUCAAUCUAAUCCAACAUACCUGGGGCUAGAUUUGUUGAUCAGAAACUUUGAGGAAGAAAGUUCACCAAUUUAUUUUUGAGCUACGGACUGCAUCAAUACACCCAUUGUCCAUCCAAAACUUGUGGCAGGUCCUGCAAAUGCAUUUCUUAGUUCACUGCACCUACUUCGAUUUGUUUCUGGAGAUGCAGUAUACAUGGCAGUACUUUCCAUACAUGGGGCCUGAUUCACAUGUGGUUGGAAUAGCUAUCACUGCUGCUUACAUGGAAGUAGCAGCGACAUACAGAUAAGGUAAUGCAGUAGGGGAUAUAAGUAGACGCCUCCCGCUUUCAUUAGUGAUCUGUGCUGCAUCGUGAGAUGUAGCAUCAGAUCACCUGCAACACUAUUGGCCAGCAUCAUGACCCUUGUUCCUACAACGAUCCUGGCCUCGGCAUUCCCACAAUGGAGAGGCGACACUCCUCCGUUUUGAGAAAUGAUUGCCGUUGCUGCCCCCGUCCACCCUCAAAUGGCAGCAGACUGUCAGUCAAUGAUGUCUGCAGCUAUAGUGUGUCCAACAGCACCGGACCCGUACUGCACUUGCACAGUAUAGGUCCGGGGUAUGUGCAAAGUACCAAACAUCGGUUUGUGCUGCACCUCCAGCCACAUCUGAAUGAGGCUCAUGAUCUUCAUUUCCUAAGUCUCAGCACAUCUGGAGGCUUUCAUUAGAAACAUUUUUCCAUUGCAACAGAUGAAGAUAAUUUAUCUGCUCCAUACUAUCUACUUGGACUCUACCCACAAUGCAUUAACUUCAUCACAUUCUUGAUCAGAAUUUUGUCUAUUAUCUCUCUCUCUCUCUCUCUCUCUCUCUCUCUCUCUCUUUCUAUAAUAUGCGUUGUCCUUCAUCUCUUCUUUAUAUUUUGUCUCUGUCUUAUUUAAUAAAGGUUUAAAUUAAUUUAA